ACGAACGCUGGCGGCGUGCUUAACACAUGCAAGUCGAGCGAGAGCCAGUCGAGGGGUAACCCUCGGCUGGGGACAGCGGCGAACGGGUGCGUAACACGUGGGCAACCUGCCCCUGACACUGGGAUAACCCCGGGAAACCGGAGCUAAUACCGGAUACUCUCGGCCGAUCACAUGGCUGGCCGAGGAAAGGUCCGCCGGUCAGGGAUGGGCCCGCGGCCUAUCAGCUUGUUGGUGGGGUAAUGGCCCACCAAGGCGACGACGGGUAGCUGGUCUGAGAGGACGACCAGCCACACUGGAACUGAGAUACGGUCCAGACUCCUACGGGAGGCAGCAGUGGGGAAUAUUGCACAAUGGGCGAAAGCCUGAUGCAGCGACGCCGCGUGA
This 384-nucleotide ribosomal RNA is filed under the name uncultured bacterium. RNAcentral describes it as "bacterial SSU rRNA". It matches the Rfam family "Bacterial small subunit ribosomal RNA", at positions 29 to 404 of the family's 1533-position model. The record is from RNAcentral.